Molecule: ribosomal RNA, 105 nt
Filed under: uncultured bacterium
Lineage: Bacteria
Description: partial 16S ribosomal RNA
Rfam family: Bacterial small subunit ribosomal RNA
Source: RNAcentral
CGUUCCCGGACCUUGUACACACCGCCCGUCAAGCGAUGGAAGCUGGGAGGACCUGAAGACAGUUGCUGUAAGGCGCUGUUUAGGGUAAAACCGGUGACUGGCNCU